CCUACGGGAGGCAGCAGUGAGGAAUAUUGGUCAAUGGGCGCGAGCCUGAUCCAGCCAAGUAGCGUGAAGGAUGACUGCCCUCCGGGUUGUAAACUUUUUUUAUAAAGGAAUAAGGUGAGGCACGUGUGCCUCUUUGUAUGUACUUUAUUAAUAUGGAUCGUCUAACUUCGUGCCAGCAGCCGCGGUAAUACGUAGGAUCCGAGCGUUAUCCGGAUUGAUUGGGUUUAAAGGGGGCGUAGAUGGGUCGUUAAGUCAGUUGUGAAAGUUUGCGGCUCAACCGUAAAAUUGCAAUUGAUACUGGCAGUCUUGAGUACAGUUGAGGUAGGCGGAAUUCGUGGUGUAGCGGUGAAAUGCUUAGAUAUCACGAAGAACUCCGAUGGCGAAGGCAGCUUACUAAACUGCCACUGACAUUGAUGCUCGAAAGUGUGGGUAUCAAACAGGAUUAGACACCCCUGUAGUC
Molecule: ribosomal RNA, 460 nt
Filed under: uncultured bacterium
Lineage: Bacteria
Description: partial 16S ribosomal RNA
Rfam family: Bacterial small subunit ribosomal RNA
Source: RNAcentral